This is a long non-coding RNA of Alosa sapidissima (American shad), 358 nucleotides long. RefSeq lists it as uncharacterized. Lineage: Eukaryota; Metazoa; Chordata; Actinopteri; Clupeiformes; Clupeidae. The record is from RefSeq and is a predicted model, not a curated record. The transcript is spliced from 3 exons.
UCACACAACCUGCCUGCAGAGUGACAAGAAAACCCUAAAUUGAUGUAUUUUAAUCCAGAAGGAUACCAGUACGUAGUCAAAGAGAAAGAUAUGCACUCGGCAUUGUGACUGUUUCCUAAUCUCAGGGAUCCUUACUCCACCAAUGGCUAUGAACACUUCUACGAUGCUGCAAGAGGGACGGGCUAUCUGGCAUGGCGCCUAAAGCAACGAGUGUCGCAGCGUUUGGUCAAGAACAGAUCGGGAGCCUUGGAAUACAUGAACACCAUGAGCUUUUUAAGGAGGUAGACUUUCUAAUGAGGAGACACAGCACUCAAAAAAUCCUCCAUAGAAAUGCAUGGGGUUAGUUUGUAACGUAUGG